GGGGGGGGGGGGCGGGGGGCCUGGGGCGGGGGGGGCGGGCGGUGGCGGGGGGCGGCUUGCUGGUUCGCGGACGAGGGGCGGCCGGGUGGGUGAUGUCUGGGAAACUGCCUGAUGGAGGGGGAUAACUACUGGAAACGGUAGCUAAUACCGCAUAACGUCGCAAGCCCAAAGAGGGGGACCUUCGGGCCUCUUGCCAUCGGCUGUGCCCAGAUGGGAUUAGCUAGUAGGUGGGGUAACGGCUCACCUAGGCGACGAUCCCUAGCUGGUCUGAGAGGAUUACCAGCCACACUGGAACUGAGACACGGUCCAGACUCCUACGGGAGGCAGCAGUGGGGAAUAUUGCACAAUGGGCGCAAGCCUGAUGCAGCCAUGCCGCGUGUAUGAAGAAGGCCUUCGGGUUGUAAAGUACUUUCAGCGGGGAGGAAGGGAGUAAAGUUAAUACCUUGGCUCAUUGACGUUACCCGCAGAAGAAGCACCGGCUAACUCCGUG
This 490-nucleotide ribosomal RNA is filed under the name uncultured bacterium. RNAcentral's name for it is "partial 16S ribosomal RNA". It matches the Rfam family "Bacterial small subunit ribosomal RNA", at positions 27 to 507 of the family's 1533-position model. The record is from RNAcentral.